Anolis carolinensis (green anole) is the source of this 469-nucleotide long non-coding RNA. RefSeq lists it as uncharacterized. The transcript is spliced from 5 exons. Lineage: Eukaryota; Metazoa; Chordata; Lepidosauria; Squamata; Anolidae. The record is from RefSeq and is a predicted model, not a curated record.
UUUCAUUCUGCAGCCAUCUACACUGGAAGGGGUUGAUUUGGAGAAUGGAUUUGGGGGAAGAUUUCCCUUUGGACCAGGAGGCCCAGGAAGAGGCCAAGGAAGAGGCCAAGGAAGAGGCAAAGGAAGAGGCAAAGGGAAAGGCAGGGAGGGAGGCAAAGGAAAAGGAAAAGGCAACGGAAAGGGGAAAGAAGAGGAGAAAGGAUCAGGAGAGGAAUCUGAGGCUGAUCCGGAAGAGGUACCUGAACAGUAAGCAAUAAGGACCACAUCAUGGCAUUCACCUAACAUCUCUGUGAUCAAGAACUGGCAACUUGAUUAGAUACCUUGUUCCAAUGAUACAUUAAUGAAAUAAGCAAUCUUUAGUAGUUAUUGAGGGCAGUGCCGAUGUUUGAUUCCAUUUCAUUCUCUCGUAGAACAUAUUCUAUAGGAAUACUUGAUGAGAAUAAAAAUUAAAACAUUUAUUUCAAAGCAA